GUAGGUUAAUUCCAUUAAACGUACACAUUUUAUUCUCUGUUACAAAUUUCUUUUAUAAGUAAAUUUAAAAAAAAAAUUGUAGUACACUUAAAAAAUGCAUUGUUAAACAUUUAAACAAGAAAUUAUAUAUGUAGUUACAUGAAACAUAAUUUUGCAAUGAAUUUAGUAAUUAAACUGUAUUACCUUAAGCCUUAUAAUGAUUGUAACAUCUUAAUAGUUAAAACUGAGUAAUAUAAAAGAUAAACAUACAUACUUCAUAUUAUAUCAUUAAAUUAAUAUAAUUAUUGUUAUAAUAGAUUUUAAGAACUCACAAUGUAUUUUAUGGUGCAGUAAUAUAAUAGUAUACAUAUGUCCAAGUUAAGAAAUAAAUCAACAUUUAUUUUGCCCAUGCAGUGCCCAAACAUUGGGUUUAAAGUAUCAGUUUUAAUGUAGUAUAGCUAAAUUUCUGAGGCAAUGCUAAAAAACUAUAGUACACAUGCUAUUUUUUAUUUCUCUUAAAUUCUUCAGUUACUCUAAUUUAUACUAUUUGUUUAGAAUUUUAUACCAGGAUUCGCUUAAAUGGCAGCUAUCAAAUUUAAAUUAUGCAAUUAUUUACUACUAAGAAGCAGCAUCAUUAUCAUCAUCAUCAUCCAUCAUCAUCAUCAUCAUCAUCAUCAUCAUCAUUAGGUUCUAACAUUGUUACAUACAUAAUGCUGAAGUGUUGAUGUUGGAAUUGAAUGUUAACAAUAUAAUAAAUGUGUACAAAUGUAUGUAGAUAUUUUAUGUUGAUUUAUUUUAUUUAUUGGAAUAAAUCUUCAUUGUAAUUCUGCAUACAAAGAACUACUUGUGUGGAAAACUACUCGAGUUCCUCUGCACAAUAUUAUUUAGUUUUCAAGUUCAAAGUAAAUGGACCAAUUUUUGAAAUGGUUCAUAUUAUGUACAAAUGUUAUACUCAAAUAAUUUUUAUGAAAUAUAUACACCAAGAAAUAUACAAACGGUUUCAGAAGCCUCAGGGUACAAAUCUAAUCUAUAAAGUUGAAUCAAAGCUGUAAAACGAUGAUAAGUUAAAAAUUAAGUAAAAACAGUAAAAACUUUAUACGUGUAAUAAUAAGUUCAUUUAAUAAAAGAAUAGGUGGAAUACAAAAAGACACACUGCCUUAU
Molecule: non-coding RNA, 1140 nt
Organism: Osmia lignaria (orchard mason bee)
Lineage: Eukaryota; Metazoa; Arthropoda; Insecta; Hymenoptera; Megachilidae
Source: RefSeq, a predicted model, not a curated record